Molecule: long non-coding RNA, 515 nt
Organism: Oncorhynchus keta (chum salmon)
Lineage: Eukaryota; Metazoa; Chordata; Actinopteri; Salmoniformes; Salmonidae
Exons: 4
Source: RefSeq, a predicted model, not a curated record
UGAGGUAUCUGCCUGGUCCUAAAUCCAGCCAGCUGAAAGGCUUUGAGGUAUCUGCCUGGUCCUAAAUCCAGCCAGCUGAAAGGCUUUGAGGUAUCUGCCUGGUCCUAAAUCCAGCCAGCUGAAAGGCUUUGAGGUAUCUGCCUGGUCCUAAAUCCAGCCAGCUGAAAGGCUUUGAGGUAUCUGCCUGGUCCUAAAUCCAGCCAGCUGAAAGGCUUUGAGGUAUCUGCCUGGUCCUAAAUCCAGCCAGCUGAAAGGCUUUGAGGUAUCUGCCUGGUCCUAAAUCCAGCCAGCUGAAAGGCUUUGAGGUAUCUGCCUGGUCCUAAAUCCAGCCAGCUGAAAGGCUUUGAGGUAUCUGCCUGGUCCUAAAUCCAGCCAGCUGAAAGGCUUUGAGGUAUCUGCCUGGUCCUAAAUCCAGCCAGCUGAAAGGCUUUGAGGUAUCUGCCUGGUCCUAAAUCCAGCCAGCUGAAAGGCUUUGAGGUAUCUGCCUGGUCCUAAAUCCAGCCAGCUGAAAGGCU